GAUGAACGCUGGCGGCGUGCCUAAUACAUGCAAGUCGAGCGAACGGACGAGAAGCUUGCUUCUCUGAUGUUAGCGGCGGACGGGUGAGUAACACGUGGAUAACCUACCUAUAAGACUGGGAUAACUUCAGGAAACCGGAGCUAAUACCGGAUAAUAUUUUGAACCGCAUGGUUCAAAAGUAAAAGACGGUCUUGCUGUCACUUAUAGAUGGAUCCGCGCUGCAUUAGCUAGUUGGUAAGGUAACGGCUUACCAAGGCAACGAUGCAUAGCCGACCUGAGAGGGUGACCGGCCACACUGGAACUGAGACACGGUCCAGACUCCUACGGGAGGCAGCAGUAGGGAAUCUUCCGCAAUGGGCGAAAGCCUGACGGAGCAACGCCGCGUGAGUGAUGAAGGUCUUCGGAUCGUAAAACUCUGUUAUUAGGGAAGAACAUAUGUGUAAGUAACUGUGCACAUCUUGACGGUACCUAAUCAGAAAGCCACGGCUAACUACGUG
RNAcentral lists this ribosomal RNA (497 nucleotides) under uncultured bacterium. RNAcentral's name for it is "partial 16S ribosomal RNA". It matches the Rfam family "Bacterial small subunit ribosomal RNA", at positions 28 to 507 of the family's 1533-position model. The record is from RNAcentral.